RNAcentral lists this ribosomal RNA (261 nucleotides) under uncultured archaeon. Its description in RNAcentral is "partial 16S ribosomal RNA". It matches the Rfam family "Archaeal small subunit ribosomal RNA", at positions 748 to 1009 of the family's 1478-position model. The record is from RNAcentral.
UAGCCGUAAACGAUACUCGCUAGGUGUCGGCCACGGUGCGACCGUUGUCGGUGCCGUAGGGAAGCCGUGAAGCGAGCCACCUGGGAAGUACGGCCGCAAGGCUGAAACUUAAAGGAAUUGGCGGGGGAGCACUACAACGGGUGGAGCUUGCGGUUUAAUUGGAUUCAACGCCGGAAAUCUUACCGGGACCGACAGCAACAUGAAGGCCAGGCUAAAGACUUUGCCGGAUUAGCUGAGAGGAGGUGCAUGGCGUAGUCGUGU